GUUUUUAAAAUCUUCCAUUGCUUCUCUCAUCAUCAUCAUCACUCACUUCCACAUGCUUCGAAGAAACGCCUGAACCUUUGGAUUCCGGGCAUGCUGCGCCAAUUUGAUCAAUCCCGAGAUGAAUGUUUCAUUCUCUCUUCUUCCUUCUUACAAUCUCGGAAUCUGCGCUUCUUUCCGCUGGGGAACUUAGAUGCUGUGCUGCUGCGUUCCUCAACAACUGUAGCGGUUCGGCUUUUGUUUUGAAGGUUAAUGGCUUGU
Molecule: non-coding RNA, 258 nt
Organism: Cucurbita pepo subsp. pepo (vegetable marrow)
Lineage: Eukaryota; Viridiplantae; Streptophyta; Magnoliopsida; Cucurbitales; Cucurbitaceae
Source: RefSeq, a predicted model, not a curated record